UAACGUGAUAAUUUUAUGUUUUUUUUUUUCAGAAUCAAAAUAUUAUUUUACAAACACACUCGUUUCCGUAAGAUUUAUUAGUAAUACGCUUAAUUUUAUGCAUAUACCGACUUUUUUUUUUUUUUUCACUCGUAUGCUGUUCGGGUCUUAUAAGAUUGUGUGCAUUACAAGGUUUUUGUAAUUACUGAAACAUACGAAAAAUUAAAAGAAGAAAUUAGAAAAGGUAAGAAAAUAACAAUACUAAAUAAAUAAUUGGAAAUGAGGAAUCACACAUGGAUUCCAUUCGAUGACAUUGCACUGG
This 301-nucleotide long non-coding RNA is filed under the name Capsella rubella. Its description in RNAcentral is "long non-coding RNA (CRUB_LNC001343)". Lineage: Eukaryota; Viridiplantae; Streptophyta; Magnoliopsida; Brassicales; Brassicaceae. The record is from RNAcentral.